UAGGAAUGACGUCACUCUUCCGGAUCCUUCCGUCUCCGAGAAAGCGCGUGUCCAUCUCUGAUUCAGAAGUGAAUAUGAAAAGAAGUUUGAGAGAAAAACAUGAGCACGUUGAGAGUGUGUCUUCAGCCAUUUACCAUCUGGACUUUCCUGGAGUUUCCUUGGCCAGGUGUGGUGGUUUC
This is a long non-coding RNA of Puntigrus tetrazona (Sumatra barb), 179 nucleotides long. RefSeq lists it as uncharacterized. Lineage: Eukaryota; Metazoa; Chordata; Actinopteri; Cypriniformes; Cyprinidae. The transcript is spliced from 3 exons. The record is from RefSeq and is a predicted model, not a curated record.